GAGAUCCAAUCCUCUGCAAAAAGAAAGAAAAAGGAAAAUUGAUAAGUUAUCUAACGAUCACUCAGAAAUAAAGAAGGAAAAAGUGGGGGCUCACGGUUGGCGAUUCGAUCGAUAGAUCUGCAGAUCCUAUCCCGCGUAAAAUUCUCCCAAUGAUCUUGUUUCUGCAAUGCAACGGUUCAGGCACUCGUCCUCCAAUCCUCGGGGUAGGUGGCAAUAUUCGGAUGACCAACUGCAA
This 235-nucleotide long non-coding RNA is filed under the name Brassica napus (rape). Its description in RNAcentral is "long non-coding RNA (BNAP_LNC017492)". Lineage: Eukaryota; Viridiplantae; Streptophyta; Magnoliopsida; Brassicales; Brassicaceae. The record is from RNAcentral.